AACAUGGCGGAGAGCAGGGGAAUGGAUGUGUGGACAGCUGACGCAUAUGUUGUGGCUACCUGGUUACCUCCAAAUAAUUUGGACCCAUCACUGUCUUUUCCAGAUCACAUUGCAUUCAAAGAUGCUAUUGUCUUUCCUGCUUGGAAGCCAGGACACUGGAUGUUGUGUGUAAGUUAUAUGGAAUUUGGUUACUAAAUAUAUAAUUGCAUCUGUAAAUUGCCUUCAUUUGUCUUGUCACAAUUCAAAAUUACCAUUGCACUAUUGCAACCUACUAACACACUGUUUUCCAGGUAAUGAAGCCAAAAGAUAGACAAAUCUACUUCUUAGAUUCAACCAAUCCCUAUGGGUUGGGUGAUGAGUGCUAUGUGCACAUUUUCAGGUUGCUUAAAUGUGAAAAUGUUCAUGGUUCGCUGUUCAUAAGGUUUGCCUUCAAAUGUUCAAAAUGUUGGCUUAAUGGUUAUUUGGAUGUUUGCAUGAUGUUCUGAAUUUGCAUGUGUGUGACAAUUGUUUUAUUUUCUGAAAGGCCCAGUUACUGGGGGCUACUGUUUUUGCAGAUUUUCUUUGUAUUCAUACUCUUUCAUAUGAACUUUGUUGUUAUUAUUUGUGUAUUUUUGUUUCAGUAAGAUGACAGCUAAAAUUGCACCUGGCACAUGGAUGCUACUAAAAAACAAGGAUGUCCCCCAACAGAUUGGCUAUGUGGACUGUGGAGUCUUCAUGUUGAUGGUAAGGCAAAUCAUGUUUUGCUAUAAAUAAACUAAUGCUUGCCUUCCAAUUUAAUGUAUUGACAGUAUCAGUUUGUUUCUUCUGGGAUCCCUAAACAAUGGCAUUGCUAUCUUUCAUCUUUCAAACUCCUUAUGCCCCAUUUUAAUUAUGAUUUGACUUUUUCUUAAAUUUUGCUGGGU
Molecule: long non-coding RNA, 902 nt
Organism: Sinocyclocheilus anshuiensis
Lineage: Eukaryota; Metazoa; Chordata; Actinopteri; Cypriniformes; Cyprinidae
Exons: 4
Source: RefSeq, a predicted model, not a curated record